This 759-nucleotide ribosomal RNA is filed under the name uncultured Enterobacteriaceae bacterium. RNAcentral describes it as "bacterial SSU rRNA". It matches the Rfam family "Bacterial small subunit ribosomal RNA", at positions 28 to 776 of the family's 1533-position model. The record is from RNAcentral. Lineage: Bacteria; Pseudomonadati; Pseudomonadota; Gammaproteobacteria; Enterobacterales; Enterobacteriaceae.
AUUGAACGCUGGCGGCAGGCCUAACACAUGCAAGUCGAACGGUAACAGGAAGAAGCUUGCUUCUUUGCUGACGAGUGGCGGACGGGUGAGUAAUGUCUGGGAAACUGCCUGAUGGAGGGGGAUAACUACUGGAAACGGUAGCUAAUACCGCGUAACGUCGCAAAACCAAAGAGGGGGACCUUCGGGCCUCUUGCCAUCGGAUGUGCCCAGAUGGGAUUAGCUAGUAGGUGGGGUAACGGCUCACCUAGGCGACGAUCCCUAGCUGGUCUGAGAGGAUGACCAGCCACACUGGAACUGAGACACGGUCCAGACUCCUACGGGAGGCAGCAGUGGGGAAUAUUGCACAAUGGGCGCAAGCCUGAUGCAGCCAUGCCGCGUGUAUGAAGAAGGCCUUCGGGUUGUAAAGUACUUUCAGCGGGGAGGAAGGGAGUAAAGUUAAUACCUUUGCUCAUUGACGUUACCCGCAGAAGAAGCACCGGCUAACUCCGUGCCAGCAGCCGCGGUAAUACGGAGGGUGCAAGCGUUAAUCGGAAUUACUGGGCGUAAAGCGCACGCAGGCGGUUUGUUAAGUCAGAUGUGAAAUCCCCGGGCUCAACCUGGGAACUGCAUCUGAUACUGGCAAGCUUGAGUCUCGUAGAGGGGGGUAGAAUUCCAGGUGUAGCGGUGAAAUGCGUAGAGAUCUGGAGGAAUACCGGUGGCGAAGGCGGCCCCCUGGACGAAGACUGACGCUCAGGUGCGAAAGCGUGGGGAGCAAACAGG